AACGUAGGAGGCAAGCGUUAUCCGGAAUAACUGGGCGUAAACGGAGUCUAGGCGGACGGGAAAGCGGGGUGUGAAAGCUCCUGGCUUAACUGGGAGAGCGCGCUCUGAACUCCCCGACUAGAGUACAGGCGGCGGAGGUGGAAUUCCCGGUGGAGUGGUGAAAUGCGUAGAGAUCGGGAAGAACACCAGUGGCGAAGGCGGCCUACGGGCCUGAAACUGACGCUAAAGCACGACGGCUAGGGGAGCAAACGGG
RNAcentral lists this ribosomal RNA (253 nucleotides) under uncultured bacterium. Its description in RNAcentral is "partial 16S ribosomal RNA". It matches the Rfam family "Bacterial small subunit ribosomal RNA", at positions 524 to 776 of the family's 1533-position model. The record is from RNAcentral.